Nematolebias whitei (Rio pearlfish) is the source of this 507-nucleotide long non-coding RNA. RefSeq lists it as uncharacterized. The transcript has 4 exons. The record is from RefSeq and is a predicted model, not a curated record. NCBI's taxonomy places the organism in Eukaryota, Metazoa, Chordata, Actinopteri, Cyprinodontiformes, Rivulidae.
UCACUACGGGUUUCUAACAGGAGGUCACUACACUGCAGAAAUCAAAUCCUUUGAAACUGGAAACUGGUACUGCUUCAAUGACAAUACUGUUAAACAUGUCAAACAACAUGAUUUUGAAUUAGAAAAGAACUUGACGAGGUCGAGCACGGCUUAUCUUCUUAUGUACAAAAAAGUGCGUGAACUAACAAGACGGACUGAUGGACGGGACCUGAAAGCUCAACGUGUACGUUCAGACGUGCAGACUGAAGACGGAUGGGACGAAUCAGAGCUCAGAAGCUUUCCUGUUUCUGAUUAUCAUCUGAAGAACGAAAGCUGCAGAGGAGGGAAUUAUAAGCACUUAAACGGUGAAAUACCCUCUGAUUAUGUGUUUGGGAGGAAACGGACAUGUUCUUUAAGAAGAGAGAAGAAACAGCCAAACCAGAGAGCAGGACUGGUGGGACUUCAAACAGACCCUGAAGCACCGCAGCAGGAAACAAAGAACCACAGGAGCAAUGUGAACUCUGAAAA